UGGGUAUGUUAAUAGCAUAUUCAUUUUGACGUUUAGCUGCAGAAGAAGCACCGGCUAACUCCGUGCCAGCAGCCGCGGUAAUACGGAGGGUGCGAGCGUUAAUCGGAAUUACUGGGCGUAAAGCGCAUGCAGGUGGUUUGUUAAGUCAGAUGUGAAAGCCCGGGGCUCAACCUCGGAAUUGCAUUUUGAAACUGGCAAACUAGAGUACUGUAGAGGGGGUAGAAUUUCAGGUGUAGCGGUGAAAUGCGUAGAGAUCUGAAGGAAUACCGGUGGCGAAGGCGGCCCCCCUGGACAGAUACUGACACUCAGAUGCGAAAGCGUGGGGAGCAAACAGGAUUAGAUACCCUGGUAG
This 352-nucleotide ribosomal RNA is filed under the name uncultured bacterium. RNAcentral's name for it is "bacterial SSU rRNA". It matches the Rfam family "Bacterial small subunit ribosomal RNA", at positions 443 to 793 of the family's 1533-position model. The record is from RNAcentral.